This 71-nucleotide transfer RNA is filed under the name Anaplectoidea varia. RNAcentral's name for it is "tRNA-Trp". It matches the Rfam family "tRNA". From Rfam's summary of the family: Transfer RNA (tRNA) molecules are approximately 80 nucleotides in length. Lineage: Eukaryota; Metazoa; Arthropoda; Insecta; Blattodea; Blattellidae. The record is from RNAcentral.
AAGGUUUUAAGUUAAACUAAACUAAUAGCUUUCAAAGCUACAAAUAAAGAAUUAUAGUCCUUUAAGCCUUA